This 417-nucleotide ribosomal RNA is filed under the name uncultured delta proteobacterium. Its description in RNAcentral is "bacterial SSU rRNA". It matches the Rfam family "Bacterial small subunit ribosomal RNA", at positions 370 to 779 of the family's 1533-position model. Lineage: Bacteria; Deltaproteobacteria. The record is from RNAcentral.
AAUGGAGGAAACUCUGACGCAGCAAUGCCACGUGAGUGAGGAAGGUCUUCGGAUUGUAAAGCUCUGUCCUAUAGGAAGAAUGCAUUAUGGUUAAUACCCAUAGUGUUUGACGGUACUAUAGAAGAAAGCACCGGCUAACUCCGUGCCAGCAGCCGCGGUAAUACGGAGGGUGCAAGCGUUGUUCGGAUUUACUGGGCGUAAAGCGCGCGCAGGCGGACUAGCAAGUCAGAUGUGAAAUCCCGGGGCUUAACCUCGGAACUGCGUCUGAAGCUGUUAGUCUAGAGUCUCACAGGGGGUAGGGGAAUUUCACGUGUAGGGGUAAAAUCCGUAGAGAUGUGAAGGAACACCGGUGGCGAAGGCGCCUACCUGGAUGAGUACUGACGCUGAGGCGCGAAAGCGUGGGGAGCAAACAGGAUU